RNAcentral lists this ribosomal RNA (498 nucleotides) under uncultured bacterium. Its description in RNAcentral is "bacterial SSU rRNA". It matches the Rfam family "Bacterial small subunit ribosomal RNA", at positions 28 to 524 of the family's 1533-position model. The record is from RNAcentral.
GACGAACGCUGGCGGCGUGCUUAACACAUGCAAGUCGAACGGUAAGGCCCUUCGGGGUACACGAGUGGCGAACGGGUGAGUAACACGUGGGUGAUCUGCCCUGCACUUCGGGAUAAGCUUGGGAAACUGGGUUUAAUACCGGAUAGGACCACGGUCUGCAUGGAUUGUGGUGGAAAGCUUUUGCGGUGUGGGAUGGGCCCGCGGCCUAUCAGCUUGUUGGUGGGGUGAUGGCCUACCAAGGCGACGACGGGUAGCCGGCCUGAGAGGGUGUCCGGCCACACUGGGACUGAGAUACGGCCCAGACUCCUACGGGAGGCAGCAGUGGGGAAUAUUGGACAAUGGGCGCAAGCCUGAUCCAGCCAUGCCGCGUGGGUGAAGAAGGCCUUUGGGUUGUAAAGCUCUUUCGGUGGGGAGAAAUUGCACGGGUUAAUACCCUGUGUAGAUGACGGUACCCGACUAAGAAGCACCGGCUAACUACGUGCCAGCAGCCGCGGUAAU